This 99-nucleotide small nuclear RNA is filed under the name Blumeria graminis f. sp. tritici. Lineage: Eukaryota; Fungi; Ascomycota; Leotiomycetes; Helotiales; Erysiphaceae. RNAcentral also lists the same sequence under 1 other name. The record is from RNAcentral.
GCCUACAGGCAUUUGGUCAACUUGAAACGAUCCAGUGAAGAUUAUCAUGGCCCCAGGACUAGGAAGACGCGUUGAGUCAAAGAGAAGCUGCUGAUUUUG